CCUACGGGAGGCAGCAGUCGAGAAUCAUUCACAAUGGGGGAAACCCUGAUGGUGCGACGCCGCGUGGGGGAAUGAAGGUCUUCGGAUUGUAAACCCCUUUCAUGUGGGAGCAAAUUAAAAAGAUAGUACCCCAAGAGGAAGAGACGGCUAACUCUGUGCCAGCAGCCGCGGUAAUACAGAGGUCUCAAGCGUUGUUCGGAAUCACUGGGCGUAAAGCGUGCGUAGGCUGUUUCGUAAGUCGUGUGUGAAAGGCGCGGGCUCAAGCCGCGGACGGCACAUGAGACUGCGAGACUAGAGUAAUGGAGGGGGAACCGGAAUGCUCGGUGUAGCAGUGAAAUGCGUAGAUAUCGAGAGGAACACUCGUGGCGAAGGCGGGUUCCUGGACAUUAACUGACGCUGAGGCACGAAGGCGAGGGGAGCGAAAGGGAUUAGAUACCCUUGUAGUC
This 446-nucleotide ribosomal RNA is filed under the name uncultured bacterium. RNAcentral describes it as "partial 16S ribosomal RNA". It matches the Rfam family "Bacterial small subunit ribosomal RNA", at positions 338 to 795 of the family's 1533-position model. The record is from RNAcentral.